This 1642-nucleotide long non-coding RNA is filed under the name Sus scrofa (pig). Its description in RNAcentral is "lncRNA (ENSSSCG00060027928.1)". The record is from RNAcentral. Lineage: Eukaryota; Metazoa; Chordata; Mammalia; Artiodactyla; Suidae.
AGAGGCAUGUGGGUAUCAGCAACUGCUUAGAGAAGCUGGCCAAGGCCAGCCGAUGAGGGAGGGACCAGAUUCCCUGCAAGAUGAGAUGCAUUUGAAACAACUGACAAGAAACGGUAUGAGCAAUGGAAACACUGCUACCUGUUUCCAACUCAGCUGAAGUGAAUCAACUCAAAAUGCAGGAGACAGAAAAAGGAUUUUCCUGGGAUAGAUCUUUCUUUUAAGCUUCAGCUGGACCACUUACACAUCUGUUUCCAGCCCUUGGAUCUUCUGUGAGGCAGAGAUGGCUUCCAAGUCAUGGAGAAUAACUGUUACCCCCCAUCCAACUUUCUGGAGCCUUUUGAUUGAUGCCUGGCUGAUGGACUCAAUCGCCUGCAAGUUUCCCAUAUGCUUCAUCUGAAUCCAAAAACAAGUUGAAGAAAAUAUGCAACAUUGGGAGAUUUUAACAGAAAAAUGGUAAGCCACUACUCCUUGUGGAACUAUGGUCUGUGAAGCUGCAAUUGGUGAGGAGGGGAAAGCCAGCUUUUCCUUAAUUUCCCUACAAGUUCGAAAAGCAAGUCAAGAAAAGGAAACCACCUGCAGUCAAAAGAUGAUGAAACCCCACGAGGUGGAAGAACUUAACUACUUGCCAACCACAUACAUAGACCCUCCCCCCCAAGCUGGUUGGAACCAGGUUGAUGAUAUUGACUCCUGAUUACCUCACCACCAACCAAUCAGAAGAAUGUCCACGUGCUGAUCAUAUACCACAACCCUCUGCCUCAACCGGUCUUUAAAAACCUUUCCCUGAAAGCUAUUAGGGAGUUCAGGCCUUUUUGAGCAUUAGGCCUUUCACCAAACUUGUAGUUUGCUUCACCACAACCUGUUGUCAGCAGAUUGGCUUUAUUUGCCUUGAGUUUGGUAAUAGUGGUUUCGGGGAAUAUGUAUCUAUACAGAAUUUUUUUUUUUUUUGAAAGUGUUGCAAAUACAUUCUCCCUAUGUAUGACUUGAUUUUGUUACUUUGUGGUAUUUCUUGAUAUGCAGAAGUUUUAAGUUUUUAUAAAGUCAAGUUUAUAUUUUCCUUUAGGUUUUAUGCUUUUUUUUUCAGGGGGGUACAAUUAUUAUGAAAUCCUUCUCUGGCUUGGAGAUAUAAAGACAUUCUAUUAUAUUUUCUUGUAAACAACUUAAAUUUUUAUUUUUCACACUUUGAUCAUUACUCAUCCAUGAAUUUUUUUUUAGGAUAUAGAUUGGGAAUAUAGUUUUAUUUUCUACCUAAAUAGCCAAUUAUUCUACCACCAUUUAUUGGAUAAUCUAUCUUCAUCUUAUCCCCACUAAUUUGCAGUGUGUCCAUUUUCCUAUAAACACAGGUCUGGUUUUAGGUCUUGCUAUCCUAUUCCAUUGACCUAUUUGUCUAUUCACCUGCAUGAAGAUCAUCUCUUACUUGCCAUAGCUUUAAAUAAAUUUUGAUAUUUGAUAGGGUCAAACUACCAUUUUGUUUUUCAAAAUUUCUUAAGUAUCUUGUCCUUUUUCUUCCAUAUAAAUUUUGAGAUGAAUUUUUUAAGUUUCAUGUAAAUUUCUGUUAGAUUGUGUUUGAAAUUGGGUUGGUAUAUUAGGGAAGACAAUAUCUGUUAUUGAACGCUUUCAUCAAUAAACUUGGUAUAUCACUACA